CAGUCGCCGCGGUAAUACGAAGGGUGCAAGCGUUAAUCGGAAUUACUGGGCGUAAAGCGUGCGUAGGCGGUGAGUUAAGUCUGCUGUGAAAUCCCCGGGCUCAACCUGGGAAUGGCAGUGGAUACUGGCUCGCUAGAGUGUGUCAGAGGAUGGUGGAAUUCCCGGUGUAGCGGUGAAAUGCGUAGAGAUCGGGAGGAACAUCAGUGGCGAAGGCGGCCAUCUGGGACAACACUGACGCUGAGGCACGAAAGCGUGGGGAGCAAACAGGAUUAGAGACCCCGGUAGUCCCUGUCUCUUAUAC
RNAcentral lists this ribosomal RNA (301 nucleotides) under uncultured bacterium. Its description in RNAcentral is "partial 16S ribosomal RNA". It matches the Rfam family "Bacterial small subunit ribosomal RNA", at positions 509 to 807 of the family's 1533-position model. The record is from RNAcentral.